This 467-nucleotide ribosomal RNA is filed under the name uncultured bacterium. Its description in RNAcentral is "partial 16S ribosomal RNA". It matches the Rfam family "Bacterial small subunit ribosomal RNA", at positions 28 to 506 of the family's 1533-position model. The record is from RNAcentral.
GACGAACGCUGGCGGCGUGCUUAACCCAUGCAAGUCGAACGGAAAGGCCCUGCUUUUGUGGGGUGCUCGAGUGGCGAACGGGUGAGUAACACGUGAGUAACCUGCCCUUGACUUUGGGAUAACUUCAGGAAACUGGGGCUAAUACCGGAUAGGAGCUCCUGCUGCAUGGUGGGGGUUGGAAAGUUUCGGCGGUUGGGGAUGGACUCGCGGCUUAUCAGCUUGUUGGUGGGGUAGUGGCUUACCAAGGCUUUGACGGGUAGCCGGCCUGAGAGGGUGACCGGCCACAUUGGGACUGAGAUACGGCCCAGACUCCUACGGGAGGCAGCAGUGGGGAAUAUUGCACAAUGGGCGGAAGCCUGAUGCAGCAACGCCGCGUGCGGGAUGACGGCCUUCGGGUUGUAAACCGCUUUCGCCUGUGACGAAGCGUGAGUGACGGUAAUGGGUAAAGAAACACCGGCUAACUACGU